Molecule: long non-coding RNA, 4954 nt
Filed under: Prunus persica (peach)
Lineage: Eukaryota; Viridiplantae; Streptophyta; Magnoliopsida; Rosales; Rosaceae
Description: long non-coding RNA (PPER_LNC005413)
Source: RNAcentral
UGAUUCCUAACGGUUUUGUCAGAUGCAAUAUACGUAUGAUUUGCGUUGGAGGUGAGCUAGUAUCCAUCUAGCUCUUCUUCUUCCCUAAGCUCUCUCUCUCUCAUUUUUCUUCAGAUUACAUUUCUCAUCUAAGAGUUAACAUACAAGAUAAUAGUCUCUGUGUUCUAACAUGGCAUCAGAGCCAGGUUGGAUUGUUUAGCUGGGCGUUUGAAUCUGUGAAGAAAGGAAGCUGCGUUUUGAAGCUAGUGUGUGAAGGUCUGUGUUUACCAUGGCUGGAUCUGGAUCUGGAGGCGAGGUGAGAGCGCCAAUUUUCAAUGGAAAUAAUUAUGAGUUUUGGAGCAUAAAGAUGAGAACCAUCUUCAGGUCUCAUGGAUUAUGGGAUCUGGUUGAAAAGGGAUUAGAGUGGUCAGAUUCGAAAGAAGCUGAUGAAUCUGGUGAAAAGAAGAAGGAAAAGGAAGAAUCAAAGGGAGCUAGUGAAUCUGGUGAGCAGAAGAUGAAAAGGGAUGUUUCAAGUGGCUCUGAAACAGAGAAGCUGAUGAAAGAUGCAAAGGCAUUGAGGCUGAUUCAAGGGGCAGUAUCUGAUGAGAUUUUUCCCCGGAUCUCUCAUGAAGAAACUUCUAAAGGAGCUUGGGAUCUCUUGAUGCAGGAAUUUCGAGGUGACAAACAAGUAAGAAGUGUCAAAUUACAGAGUCUGCGUAGGGAGUUUGAGUACACUAGAAUGAGAGAUGAUGAAUCCUUGUCUGCCUAUAUUACCAAACUAUUUGAUGUGAUUAAUCAAAUGCGUAGCUAUGGAGAAAUACUACCUAAAGAAAGAGUAGUACAGAAAUUGUUGAUUAGCCUACCAUCUGCUUAUGACUCUAUCUGCUCAAUUAUUGAACACUCGAGAGACUUGAAUGAGAUUGAGGUGCAGGAGGUUGUAGCCUCACUAAAGAGUUUUGAGUUGAGAUUAGAUAGACACUCUGAAAACAAAACAGAGAAGGCAUUUGCUAGCCUUAGUGUAGAUGCUGAACCGGUUAAAACUGGAGAUCAGAACAAUAAGCAGCAUAAGAAUUGGAAGUCCAAAGGCAAGAAAUGGGAUAACAAGACAAGUGAAGGCACUAAAACUCCCUUCAAGCACUGUGGUAAGUUACACUUUGGUGAGUGUCGAUUCAAGGGCAAACCAAAGUGUUAUAACUGUGAUAAGCUUGGCCACAUUGCAAAGGAUUGCUAUUGCAAGAAAACACCACAGCAGGUUAACUAUGCUACUCAAGUGGAAGCUGCACCAACUAUGUUCUAUGCUGGUAAUGCAAUUGGUGCUGGUAUAACAAGGGAUGAAGAAAUCUGGUAUUUGGACAGUGGGUGUAGUAAUCACAUGACAGGAAAAGAGGACUUGCUGGUGGAUAUUGACAGAAAUGUGACUGCAAAGGUUGAAAUGGGAACUGGACAGCUUGUAGACGUAACUGGAAAAGGCACUCUUGUGGUUGAAACCAAAGUAGGCAAGAGAUAUAUCAAAGAAAUAAUGAUGGUACCUGGACUGAAAGAGAACUUACUCAGUGUGGGUCAGAUGAUAGAGCAUGGCUACUAUUUGGUAUUUGGAGAUCACAAGGUGGAAAUCUACAAUGACAGCUCUCAUUCAAAUUUGGUUGCAAAGGUACAAAUGAGAGGUAAUAAAAGCUUUCCCUUGAAACUGCAGGCUGAAAUGCACUUAGCUUAUAGAGCAAGUGUAGAUCAUUCCACUGAACUUUAGCAUAGAAGAUUUGGACAUCUCAAUAUGAGUAGUCUGAAACUGUUGAAAGAACAAGAUAUGGUAGUAGGACUACCAGAAAUUAAAGGGAUUAAAGAGGUGUGUGAGGGGUGUGUUCUAGGCAAGCAGUGUAGAGAAGCAUUUCCAAAAGAGGCUACCACUAGAACACUAUCUCCACUAGAACUCAUUCACAGUGACAUCUGUGGUCCUAUGCAGACAGUUACCAAAGCUGGAAAUCGGUUCUUUCUCACUUUCAUAGACGAUUGCACAAGGAUGUGUUGGGUUUAUUUCUUAAGACACAAGUCUGAAGCUCUAACUGUGUUUAAGAAAUUCAAGGCCACUGUGGAAUUGCAAAGUGGUUAUAAACUGAAAAAGUUGAGAAGUGAUAGAGGGGGAGAAUACACUUCAGUGGAGUUUGACAGCUUCUGUGAAGAUGUAGGAAUUGAAAGACAGCUUACAACCCCAUACACACCACAGCAAAAUGGUGUGGCAGAGAGGAAAAAUAGAACUAUAGUAGAAAUGGCCAAGUGUUUGAUGUUGGAGAAGAAAAUUACAUUUGAUUUUUGGGCUGAGGCAGUCAACAUAUCUGUGUAUAUUUUGAAUAGGUGUCCAACUAAAGCUUUGAGCAAAAAGACACCAUUCGAAGCCUAUAGUGGAAGGAAACCAAGGGUUAAGCAUCUAAAGAUAUUUGGCUCACUGUGUUAUGCUCAUGUACCAAAACAACAAAGACAGAAAUUAGAUCUUGCAAGCAAGAGGUGUAUCUUCUUGGGGUAUGGCAGCUGUGAGAAAGGUUACAGGCUGUACAAUAUUGAAACUGAGAAGGUGAUUGUUUCAAGAGAUGUAAUAUUUAGUGAAAAUGUGUGUUGGGAUUGGAAUGCAAAGAAGGAAACUAGUGUGAACAUUCAGUUCACUGGAAUCCGAGAAGAAGCACAAGGAGAAGAAGGGAGUUCUAGUGAAUUUGAAGAACAAUUGGAAGUGAAUGAGGUGCCUAGUUUAAACACUGAAAACAAAGAAAGGGUCACAGGUCCGUAGGAUGUUAAUCAUACUCCUCUCAAAUACAAGAGCAUUGCAGAAAUUUAUGAAAAAUGCAAUGCGUGCAUUAUAGAACUAGAAAGUUUUGAAGAGGCAGCAAAGGAUGACUCUUGGAAGAAAGCAAUGGAAGAUGAAAUCACCAUGAUUGAAAAGAACAAUACAUGGGAGCUUGUAGCUAGACCAUUUGAUAAACCAAUCAUUGGAGUCAAAUGGGUCUAUAAGACUAAACUAAACCUAGAUGGAUCUGUGCAGAAGAAUAAGGCUCGGCUGGUUGCAAAGGGAUAUUCUCAAAAGCCUGGAAUAGACUUUAAUGAGACCUUUGCACCAGUGGCUCGGCUUGACACUGUGAGAGCUUUGGUAGCAUUGGCUGCACAGAAAAAUUGGAAGCUUUUCCAGUUAGAUGUGAAAUCUGCCUUUCUCAAUGGAGUACUAAGUGAAGAGAUGUAUGUGGAUCAACCAUCUGGUUUUGUGAUUCAAGGAAGUGAAGAUAAGGUGUAUAGGCUUAAGAAGGCUUUGUAUGGCUUGAAGCAAGCUCCAAGAGCUUGGUAUGAAGAGAUAAAUUCCUAUUUUACUAGAGUUGGUUUUCAUAGGAGCUUAAGUGAAGCUACUUUAUACACUAAGAGGUCUCCAAGUGGUAUUCUUAUUGUGUCACUCUAUGUAGAUGACAUUAUCUAUACAGGAAGCUCGAAGGAGAUGAUGCUUGAAUUUAAGAAUGAGAUGAUGAGACAAUAUGAGAUGACAGACUUUGGAUUGCUUCAUCAUUUUCUCGGCCUUGGGGUUUUACAAACUGACACUUGCAUUUUCUUGCAUCAGAAGAAAUAUGCAAAGAGUUUGCUAGACAAGUUUGGACUCAAGGACUGCAAAUCGGUUGCAACACCAUUGGCAGUGAAUGAAAAGUUGUCUAAAGUGGAUGGGAGUGACUUAGUAGAUGAGACUUUGUAUAGACAAAUGGUAGGAAGCUUGCUCUACCUAACUGCAACAAGACCAAACAUUAUGUUUGCAUCUAGUCUUUUGGCCAGAUUCAUGCACAAUCCUACCAAGAAGCACAUGGGAACAGUGAAAAGGGUGCUAAGAUAUAUACAAGGUACUAUAAGCUAUGGCAUUGCUUAUGAGAAAGGAAAAGGAGCUGUGUUAAUUGGCUAUUGUGACAGCGAUUGGAGUGGUAGUGCAGAUGAUAUGCGAAGCACAUCAGGCUAUGCAUUUAAUUUGGGGUCAGGAGUGUUUUCUUGGGCCUCAAUUAAGCAGAGCAGUGUGGCUUUCUCCACUGCAGAGGCAGAAUACAUGAGCGCAGCAGAGGCAACCACUCAAGCUGUUUGGCUCAGAUUUGUGCUAUCAGAUUUUGGUGAAGAACAGGUAGAACCAACUCAGUUGUUGUGUGACAACACUUCGGCUAUUGCUAUAUCAAAGAAUCCAGUUCAUCACCACAAAACUAGACACAUCAAUCGCAGGUUUCAUUUCAUUCGAGAUGCUCUUCAGAAUGGUGAGAUCGAUUUGCUUUAUUGCAAAACUGAAGAACAGGUUGCUAAUAUAUUCACCAAGCCUCUAGCAAGGGAUCGAUAUGAGUAUCUAAGGGAGGCUUAGGUGUUAUCUCAGCACAACACUUAGAAGGGAGUGUUAGUUUAUAAGUGCAGCUGCUGAGAUAGUUUAUUAUUUCAAUUUGAAAAUGUAGCCGUUGGAUAACAGUCCAACUGUGCAGUCAGGAUGUAACUGUGCAUGCCAUGUGUCUCUAUCUCAUAGGGUAGUGAAUGAAUGGCUGAGUUGUAAAUGAUGUAAUAGGAAUGUUCUGAUUCCUAACGGUUUUGUCAGAUGCAAUAUACGUAUGAUUUGCGUUGGAGGUGAGCUAGUAUCCAGCUAGCUCUUCUUCUUCCCUAAGCUCUCUCUCUCUCCUUCUUUAGAUCACAUUUUCUCAUCUAAGAGUUAACAUACAAGAUAAUAGUCUCUGUAUUCUAACAAUUUUGCAUGGUAUGCAAACUCUUUAUUUAACCCUUGGAUUUGGAGAGUUCACUUUAUUUUUGGGGGUUCCCUUCACCAUUGGAUGUGGCUGGUAAGACAUGUAUGAUAAAAAAAAAAAAAAAAAAUUGUACGUAAAUUCGAGGAAAAAAGAUUAUACCUUCAAAAAUUCGAGAAAAGCCAGCAUAAAUUAGAAGAAAAGUAAGGAAAUUUCCUGUUAAAUAGAAAGAAAAAAAAAACACAAUUCAA